ACGCUGGCGGCGUGCCUAAUACAUGCAAGUAGAACGCUGAAGAGAGGAGCUUGCUCUUCUUGGAUGAGUUGCGAACGGGUGAGUAACGCGUAGGUAACCUGCCUUGUAGCGGGGGAUAACUAUUGGAAACGAUAGCUAAUACCGCAUAACAAUGGAUGACCCAUGUCAUUUAUUUGAAAGGGGCAAAUGCUCCACUACAAGAUGGACCUGCGUUGUAUUAGCUAGUAGGUGAGGUAACGGCUCACCUAGGCGACGAUACAUAGCCGACCUGAGAGGGUGAUCGGCCACACUGGGACUGAGACACGGCCCAGACUCCUACGGGAGGCAGCAGUAGGGAAUCUUCGGCAAUGGGGGCAACCCUGACCGAGCAACGCCGCGUGAGUGAAGAAGGUUUUCGGAUCGUAAAGCUCUGUUGUAAGUCAAGAACGAGUGUGAGGGUGGAAAGUUCACACUGUGACGGUAGCUUACCAGAAAGGGACGGCUAACUACGUGCCAGCAGCCGCGGUAAUACGUAGGUCCCGAGCGUUGUCCGGAUUUAUUGGGCGUAAAGCGAGCGCAGGCGGUUUGAUAAGUCUGAAGUUAAAGGCUGUGGCUCAACCAUAGUUCGCUUUGGAAACUGUCAAACUUGAGUGCAGAAGGGGAGAGUGGAAUUCCAUGUGUAGCGGUGAAAUGCGUAGAUAUAUGGAGGAACACCGGUGGCGAAAGCGGCUCUCUGGUCUGUAACUGACGCUGAGGCUCGAAAGCGUGGGGAGCGAACAGGAUUAGAUACCCUGGUAGUCCACGCCGUAAACGCUGAGUGCUAGGUGUUGGAUCCUUUCCGGGAUUCAGUGCCGCAGCUAACGCAUUAAGCACUCCGCCUGGGGAGUACGACCGCAAGGUUGAAACUCAAAGGAAUUGACGGGGGCCCGCA
This 910-nucleotide ribosomal RNA is filed under the name uncultured bacterium. RNAcentral's name for it is "bacterial SSU rRNA". It matches the Rfam family "Bacterial small subunit ribosomal RNA", at positions 33 to 925 of the family's 1533-position model. The record is from RNAcentral.